AAAAAAGAGGAAAGUGGGAGCUGUGAGGGACAGAGACAAGGAAAUAUCUUUUUUUGUAAUUUUUAUUUUCCUUUUUCUCUUCUCUUCUAUCGCAAGAAGAAGCAGAGAGAUAGUCUAUAGGCAGAGAAGAGAUCGUUGUAGUUCAUAGCUAAAGAAGCAUCUGAGAGAUAGAGAUGAGAGAAAUAAUAAGCAUACACAUUGGACAAGCGGGAAUUCAGGUGGGAAACUCAUGCUGGGAGCUUUACUGCCUGGAGCAUGGCAUCCAUCCAGAUGGCAUGAUGCCCAGUGACACUUCAGUGGGUGUUGCACAUGAUGCUUUCAAUACCUUCUUCAGUGAGACUGGUUCUGGCAAACAUGUGCCCAGAGCUGUUUUUGUUGACUUGGAACCAACAGUCAUUGAUGAGGUUAGGACUGGACCUUAUAGGCAACUUUUCCACCCUGAGCAGCUUAUUUCCGGGAAGGAAGAUGCUGCUAAUAAUUUUGCUAGAGGGCACUACACAGUUGGGAAGGAAAUUGUGGAUCUGUGCCUUGAUCGAGUGAGGAAAUUGGCUGAUAACUGCACUGGCUUGCAAGGGUUUUUAGUGUUUAAUGCUGUUGGCGGUGGAACUGGUUCUGGUCUGGGGUCUUUGUUGUUAGAACGCUUAUCAGUAGAUUAUGGAAAGAAAUCAAAGCUUGGAUUCACCAUUUAUCCUUCUCCACAGGUCUCAACUGCAGUUGUGGAGCCUUAUAACAGUGUACUCUCUACACAUUCCCUUCUUGAGCAUACCGAUGUUGCUGUGCUUCUAGACAAUGAAGCUAUAUAUGACAUUUGCCGAAGAUCCCUAGAUAUUGAAAGACCUACUUACACCAAUUUGAAUCGAUUGAUAUCGCAAAUUAUAUCAUCUUUGACAACUUCAUUAAGGUUCGACGGAGCCAUUAAUGUCGAUGUUACUGAGUUCCAGACUAACCUUGUACCAUAUCCUCGCAUCCACUUCAUGCUUUCUUCAUAUGCUCCUGUCAUCUCAGCCGAAAAAGCAUACCAUGAGCAGUUGUCAGUACCUGAGAUCACAAAUGCUGUAUUUGAGCCUUCAAGCAUGAUGGCUAAAUGUGAUCCUAGGCAUGGGAAAUACAUGGCUUGUUGUUUGAUGUACCGAGGAGAUGUUGUUCCCAAGGAUGUCAAUGCUGCUGUUGCCACUAUCAAAACUAAAAGGACGGUUCAAUUUGUUGACUGGUGUCCAACUGGCUUCAAAUGUGGUAUUAACUAUGAGCCUCCAACUGUAGUACCUGGGGGUGAUCUCGCCAAGGUGCAGCGUGCUGUUUGCAUGAUCAGCA
This 1311-nucleotide unclassified non-coding RNA is filed under the name Hevea brasiliensis (rubber tree). Lineage: Eukaryota; Viridiplantae; Streptophyta; Magnoliopsida; Malpighiales; Euphorbiaceae. The record is from RNAcentral.